GACGGGGGAUGCAAGUGUUAUCCGGAAUAAUUGGGCGUAAAGCGUCUGUAGGUGGUUUACCAAGUCUGUUGUUAAAAAUCAGGGCUUAACCCUGAUCCGGCAACAGAAACUAGUAGGCUGGAGUACGGUAGGGGCAGAGGGAAUUCUCGGUGUAGUGGUGAAAUACGUAGAUAUCGAGAAGAACACCAAUAGCGAAAGCACUCUGCUGGGCCGAAACUGACAUUGAGAGACGAAAAGCUAGGGGAGCGAAAGGG
RNAcentral lists this ribosomal RNA (254 nucleotides) under uncultured bacterium. Its description in RNAcentral is "partial 16S ribosomal RNA". It matches the Rfam family "Bacterial small subunit ribosomal RNA", at positions 524 to 776 of the family's 1533-position model. The record is from RNAcentral.